AAAUAUUAAAGAGCUGCGGUAUCUUGACCGUACAAAGGUAGCAUAAUCAUUAGUUUUUUAAUUGGAAACUUGUAUGAAUGGUUGGACAAAACAAAAACUGUCUCUGCUGUAAAUGUAAAAUUUAACUUUUAAGUGAAAAGGCUUAAAUAAACCAAAGGGACGAUAAGACCCUAUAAGCAUUUGGCUGGGGCGGCAUGGAUAAAAUUGUUAACUUUCCUUAAAAAAAUCACUCAUAUGUGAAAAGAUCCUUAUUAAAGAUUAAAAGAAAAGUUACUUUAGGGAUAACAGCGUUAUUCUUUUUGAGAGCCCAUAUCGAAAAAAGAGAUUACGACCUCGAUGUUGAAUUAAAAUUUCUGUUUAGCGCAGCCGCUUUAAAAGAAGGUCUGUUCGACCUUUAAAAUUUU
Molecule: ribosomal RNA, 404 nt
Filed under: Tokoyo eburnea
Lineage: Eukaryota; Metazoa; Arthropoda; Malacostraca; Decapoda; Leucosiidae
Description: partial 16S large subunit ribosomal RNA
Rfam family: Archaeal large subunit ribosomal RNA
Source: RNAcentral